This 253-nucleotide ribosomal RNA is filed under the name uncultured bacterium. RNAcentral describes it as "partial 16S ribosomal RNA". It matches the Rfam family "Bacterial small subunit ribosomal RNA", at positions 524 to 776 of the family's 1533-position model. The record is from RNAcentral.
UACAGAGGGGGCAAGCGUUGUUCGGAAUUACUGGGCGUAAAGGGCGCGUAGGCGGCCUGCUAAGUCAUACGUGAAAUCCCUCGGCUUAACCGGGGAACUGCGUCUGAUACUGGAUGGCUUGAAUCCGGGAGAGGGAUGCGGAAUUCCAGGUGUAGCGGUGAAAUGCGUAGAUAUCUGGAGGAACACCGGUGGCGAAGGCGGCAUCCUGGACCGGCAUUGACGCUGAGGAGCGAAAGCCAGGGGAGCAAACGGG